GGCGACCGCCGGCAGUAGAGCGGUGGCCAGGCCGCUGGCCUUGCUCUGGCGAUGUGGUGGCCCAGGAGGUGGCAGGACGGUCAAGACCAGCGCGAGGGUCCUGGGCAGGGCCCGACAGUGGUUGUGGCCAGUGAGAAUGUGCAGUGUUGUAUUGCAGAAGAAGCUAAUAAGCUUAUCUGGUCUCUUGUUUCAGUGCCUCUAGGGGAUCCACGUUCAGAAGCUGACUCUGCAGGCGAGACCAACGUUAUUUUCCCGGUGGCUGUGUUCAAAACCACCCAAAGGGUUUGAGAAAUACUUUAAGAGGAGUGGAAGGAACAAACUCAGAAACAUCAACAGCACCAAAAAAAGGUCUCUCUCUGUCACCCAGGCUGGAGUGCAGUGGCACGAUGUCGGCUCACUGCAAGCUCUGCCUCCUGGGUUCACGCCAUUCUUCUCAUUCUCCUGCCUCAGCCUCCCGAGUAGCUGGGACUACAGCCGCCCGCCACCACGCCUGGGUAAUUUUUUUGUAUUUUUAGUAGAGAUGGGGUUUCACCGUGUUAGCCAGGAUGGUCUCGAUCUCCUGAUCUCAUUAUCUGCCCGCCUGGGCCUCCCAAAGGGCUGGGAUUACAGGCAUGAGCUACUGCGCCCGGCCAAGGAAUGUUUCUUUGAAGACUCAUGUUUGUCCUUAAAAUUUUGCAAAUUUUUACUCCAUCUUGUAAUAUGUUUGCCAUUCCUGGGGUCACCUUGGCCUUCUCUGGCCUUUCAUGGUAUUAUUUUACAGUUGUUGGAGUAGCACUAUAUUUGUGAAGGGGACAGUGUCAUGGCUUACUUGUCCUAGAACAUUACAGGAAGAGGCUGGUAGGUCCGUGGGUCACAAGUGUACGUAGGAGGCCAGAUUUUUUGGAGGAGAGGCAGACUCUGCUUAGAACAGGUGGUUUGUGUUCCCUGGUUCUCUUGAGAAGGGGGACCACCCAUACCAGUCUGUCUUAUCAUUUUCUUCCUUUCUUUCUUUCCCCUAAUUACAGCCAGUUUUGGGACUGUUACCCCAAAAAAGUUUACUAUUAAAGCUCAAUAUGAAGCCAGCAAGGUGAAAUUUUAGGGAUUUUAGAUGUAUCUGAAGCUACUUCUCAGCAAUAUCUCCCCAGCCUCAUCCUUUUCCUGUUGUCUGUUUAUUUCCAGAAGGCACUGGUGUUAUUAAAAUUGUGUGUUGGAAAGUGUUUUUCUGUUUUCUGAAUCCUCUUUCUUUGGAAAAUCAUAUGUAAUUGCUUUUUGAAGUCUUUGUUUUCUCUCAGAGACUGGUGAACUAGAGAAUGCCGAGUCUGGAGGAGAUGGAGGCAGGAGAGGAGGGAAGCGGGAUGACGUUGCCUGGUGGAGGCGGAUGCAGAAGGGGACUUCUGCAAUCUGGCCCUUUUGGGGGCAGGCGUUGCCAUGGGAUUUUUCUACCUCUAUUUUCGAGAUCCUGGAAGAGAAAUCACUUGGAAGCACUUUGUAUAGUAUUACCUGGCCAGAGGUCUGGUGGACCAGCUGGAAAUCCUGAACAAUUUGUGCGUGUUAUUCCUGCCCCUGGGAUCUCUUCUGAAGUGAGGGGUGAAUUUAAGGCUGAGUAUUCCAGACAUAAGUUUAUUUCGUGUAAAAAUGUAGUUUUCUAUUUUUUUCAGUAAAAUACUCCCUUAGUGUCCA
This 1659-nucleotide small RNA is filed under the name Pongo abelii (Sumatran orangutan). RNAcentral describes it as "retained intron". Lineage: Eukaryota; Metazoa; Chordata; Mammalia; Primates; Hominidae. The record is from RNAcentral.